RNAcentral lists this long non-coding RNA (400 nucleotides) under Carica papaya (papaya). RNAcentral describes it as "long non-coding RNA (CPAP_LNC008117)". The record is from RNAcentral. Lineage: Eukaryota; Viridiplantae; Streptophyta; Magnoliopsida; Brassicales; Caricaceae.
GAAAAAAAAAACUUCCCCCAGAUUUAACUUCUUGUUCACUGGCCAUAGAAGAAAAGUGGUUCUCAAUUCCUUGAGGAUUCGAUCCUAUUUACUACUACUACAAAUUCAAUUUAUUGAUAGAAUAGGAAAAUUAAUUUUGGUGGAUUCAACACCCAACAUUUUGCUUUCUUCUCCUUCAUCUCUUCUAUAUAAGUUAAAGUAGUCUAAUGCGGAACCCAAGAUCAACCAAUGCGAUUAAAAACUCACACAAUUUUAUUUAAGGCACCAAAGGAAUUUGAUCAUAUGAAAACCCUCUCUACUUAACCCUCUAUCAAGAAUGAUAGAAACUAAAAUUACUGGAAAACAAAGAAUUAAAAUAAGAAUGAAAAAAUGCCAUAAGGAAUUACCUUGAUAAAUAUAU